AUUGAACGCUGGCGGCAUGCUUUACGCAUGCAAGUCGAACGGCAGCGCGGGCUUCGGCCUGGCGGCGAGUGGCGAACGGGUGAGUAACACAUCGGAACGUGCCCAGUAGUGGGGGAUAGCUCGGCGAAAGCCGGAUUAAUACCGCAUACGACCUGAGGGUGAAAGCGGGGGAUCUUCGGACCUCGCGCUAUUGGAGCGGCCGAUGGCAGAUUAGCUAGUUGGUGGGGUAAAGGCCUACCAAGGCGACGAUCUGUAGCUGGUCUGAGAGGACGACCAGCCACACUGGGACUGAGACACGGCCCAGACUCCUACGGGAGGCAGCAGUGGGGAAUCUUGGACAAUGGGCGAAAGCCUGAUCCAGCAAUGCCGCGUGUGUGAUGAAGGCCUUCGGGUUGUAAAGCACUUUUGGCGGGAACGAAAAGGACUGUGCCAAUACCACGGUUCGAUGAC
Molecule: ribosomal RNA, 450 nt
Filed under: Lautropia mirabilis
Lineage: Bacteria; Pseudomonadati; Pseudomonadota; Betaproteobacteria; Burkholderiales; Burkholderiaceae
Description: bacterial SSU rRNA
Rfam family: Bacterial small subunit ribosomal RNA
Source: RNAcentral